RNAcentral lists this ribosomal RNA (253 nucleotides) under uncultured bacterium. Its description in RNAcentral is "partial 16S ribosomal RNA". It matches the Rfam family "Bacterial small subunit ribosomal RNA", at positions 524 to 776 of the family's 1533-position model. The record is from RNAcentral.
UACGAAGGGGGCUAGCGUUACUCGGAUUGACUGGGCGUAAAGGGCGCGUAGGCGGUUUGUACAGUCAGACGUGAAAUUCCUGGGCUCAACCUGGGGGCUGCGUUUGAUACGUGCAGACUUGAGUUCGGAAGAGGGUCGUGGAAUUCCCAGUGUAGAGGUGAAAUUCGUAGAUAUCGGGAGGAACACCGGUGGCGAAGGCGGCGCCCUGGUUCGAUACUGACACUGAGGUGCGAAAGCGUGGGGAGCAAACAGG